RNAcentral lists this ribosomal RNA (119 nucleotides) under Pteropus alecto (black flying fox). Lineage: Eukaryota; Metazoa; Chordata; Mammalia; Chiroptera; Pteropodidae. The record is from RNAcentral.
AUCUACAGCCAUGGCACCCUGAACACUCCCAAUCCUGUCUGAUCUUGGAAGCUAAGCAGGGAUGGGCCUGGUUAGUUCUUGAAUGGGAGAUCACCUAGAAAUACCUGGUGCUGUAGGCA